AAUUGCAUCGACGAGCUCCAUUUAAGUGUAGCGAGACAGUAGGAUUAUUAAUAAAAUGUGUAAUAAAUAGAAUAAUCUGGCUUCUUAAUAGCGAUUUACUUACUACUUUACGUUACUUGUGGCGGGACAUUAGUUCCGCUUACGUAACGAUGUAUUGUACUGUUGUGUUAAGUGGUGGUUGGUUUUAUUUUACGGUGGUGAUGCUGCUGAUGAUGAUCCAUCAAUCAAUCAGUGAAUCUAAUCGAGAGACAAGGAGAAUUUAUGGAUGAUGGUUUUCUGCCCUUUGGGGACUUAUUAAGGCACGUUUUUCUAUUCACUCAAGUGAAGAUAGUGAGACUCUGGAGGAUUUCGUGUGAAGGGAAAAAUGGUCAAAAUAUUUGGGCAAGUUUUUCCCAGGACGAGGAUGGAUGCAUAUUUACGAACGGGAUUUGUAAAUAUGUCCCUGCUGUAUUUUUACGUGAUGGAUUAAGACGAAGUAUUAAUGUAUGUAUUUUAGCUGGUAUGGGGCAGUGUUAGAAAUUUAUGAAAUUUUGAAAUAAAUUAUGAAAUGAGA
Molecule: long non-coding RNA, 553 nt
Organism: Folsomia candida
Lineage: Eukaryota; Metazoa; Arthropoda; Collembola; Entomobryomorpha; Isotomidae
Exons: 2
Source: RefSeq, a predicted model, not a curated record